This 384-nucleotide ribosomal RNA is filed under the name Streptomyces diastatochromogenes. RNAcentral describes it as "bacterial SSU rRNA". It matches the Rfam family "Bacterial small subunit ribosomal RNA", at positions 1016 to 1391 of the family's 1533-position model. Lineage: Bacteria; Bacillati; Actinomycetota; Actinomycetes; Kitasatosporales; Streptomycetaceae. The record is from RNAcentral.
CCCCCUUGUGGUCGGUGUACAGGUGGUGCAUGGCUGUCGUCAGCUCGUGUCGUGAGAUGUUGGGUUAAGUCCCGCAACGAGCGCAACCCUUGUUCUGUGUUGCCAGCAUGCCCUUCGGGGUGAUGGGGACUCACAGGAGACUGCCGGGGUCAACUCGGAGGAAGGUGGGGACGACGUCAAGUCAUCAUGCCCCUUAUGUCUUGGGCUGCACACGUGCUACAAUGGCAGGUACAAUGAGCUGCGAAGCCGUGAGGCGGAGCGAAUCUCAAAAAGCCUGUCUCAGUUCGGAUUGGGGUCUGCAACUCGACCCCAUGAAGUCGGAGUUGCUAGUAAUCGCAGAUCAGCAGUGCUGCGGUGAAUACGUUMMCGGGUCUUGUACACACC